Molecule: ribosomal RNA, 551 nt
Filed under: Fusarium sp. BAB-4529
Lineage: Eukaryota; Fungi; Ascomycota; Sordariomycetes; Hypocreales; Nectriaceae
Also listed under: 1 other name
Description: eukaryotic LSU rRNA
Rfam family: 5.8S ribosomal RNA (bases 183-336)
Source: RNAcentral
CUUCCGUAGGGGUAACCUGCGGAGGGAUCAUUACCGAGUUUACAACUCCCAAACCCCUGUGAACAUACCUAUACGUUGCCUCGGCGGAUCAGCCCGCGCCCCGUAAAAAGGGACGGCCCGCCCGAGGACCCCUAAACUCUGUUUUUAGUGGAACUUCUGAGUAAAACAAACAAAUAAAUCAAAACUUUCAACAACGGAUCUCUUGGUUCUGGCAUCGAUGAAGAACGCAGCAAAAUGCGAUAAGUAAUGUGAAUUGCAGAAUUCAGUGAAUCAUCGAAUCUUUGAACGCACAUUGCGCCCGCCAGUAUUCUGGCGGGCAUGCCUGUUCGAGCGUCAUUUCAACCCUCAAGCUCAGCUUGGUGUUGGGACUCGCGGUAACCCGCGUUCCCCAAAUCGAUUGGCGGUCACGUCGAGCUUCCAUAGCGUAGUAAUCAUACACCUCGUUACUGGUAAUCGUCGCGGCCACGCCGUAAAACCCCAACUUCUGAAUGUUGACCUCGGAUCAGGUAGGAAUACCCGCUGAACUUAAGCAUAUCAAUAAGGCGGAGGAA